ACCUACUCGUGCUCGUAGCUCGAUCGGAGACGAGUGUGGUCCGGCGGAAAAACAUAAGUCGUCCCUCUCGACGUGAUACCUGGCGGAAAUAGCUUAAUGGUAGAGCAUAGCCUUGCCAAGGCUGAGGUUGAGGGUUCAAGUCCCUCCUUCCGCUCAAGGCUUCGUCGUUUAGUGGUAACGAGUAGAGUGCAUAAGCACCCUUAGAAAUAGGGGCGAGACCCCUUGGAUAGGGUUACAAACCAAUCAACCUAAUAGGAAGAAAGAAAGGUCCCUUUUGUUUUAGCGCGCAGUGUACUAGUGAAUAGGAAAAGCAGAUUGAGAUUACUAAUGACAGAUGGAGGUUGAGUCUCGAACAUCUUCGGUGCCUCGCCCUUGUCUCCUUCGCCUACGACUGCUUAGAAUGCUCAUCCUAUCGAUUCAGAGGCAUAGGUACUCCCUCUCCCACAACACACUCGUCGAGACGAAAGAAACCUCCCGACAUAGAGAAGAGAUAUCGACGUCUGGGGACUCGAGAUCACCCUUCCCUUUCACCUGAACUGGUCGAGAGAGAUUAACCCGCACCACAUACAUUUUCUAACCUUCGAACCGAAACCCCCUCAGAUGGAAUUCCAGAACCUAAACAACUCCGUUGAGAGCUCCGUGACCGGGUAAAGGGAAGGUCCACCAAUGAUUGAUAGGACAUUCCCACCCUAUCCGUCUCUUUCUACCUCAUUACACUAAUUAGUUGUUACUGAUUCAUUCAAUCAAGGCAUAGACCCCCACCCACUUCUUUGUCUUAUUAGCGCAGGUGUUCGUCAACGAUGAAAGCCGCUGAACUUCAGACUCGAUUUGAGAAAGAGGGCUAGGCCCUGGAGAGGAGGGCUUGAUGGGACUAGGGAAGACGGCUGGAUUAUAGAGCUAGGGGCAGGCAGAUCGGAUCGAAGGGUUGUCCAUUGGGAUUGGGCAUGGACGAGCACUGGGCCAGCAUUGAUGACAAAA
This is a long non-coding RNA of Cucurbita maxima (winter squash), 978 nucleotides long. RefSeq lists it as uncharacterized. The transcript is spliced from 2 exons. Lineage: Eukaryota; Viridiplantae; Streptophyta; Magnoliopsida; Cucurbitales; Cucurbitaceae. The record is from RefSeq and is a predicted model, not a curated record.